This 72-nucleotide transfer RNA is filed under the name Bos taurus (domestic cattle). It matches the Rfam family "tRNA". From Rfam's summary of the family: Transfer RNA (tRNA) molecules are approximately 80 nucleotides in length. Their secondary structure includes four short double-helical elements and three loops (D, anti-codon, and T loops). Lineage: Eukaryota; Metazoa; Chordata; Mammalia; Artiodactyla; Bovidae. RNAcentral also lists the same sequence under 1 other name. The record is from Rfam by way of RNAcentral.
UCCCUCAUGGCUCAGCUGGUAAAGAAUCUGCCUGCAAUGCAGGAGACCUGGGUUCAAUCCCUGGGUGGGGAA